Molecule: ribosomal RNA, 1372 nt
Filed under: uncultured organism
Description: 16S ribosomal RNA
Rfam family: Bacterial small subunit ribosomal RNA
Source: RNAcentral
UCAGUGGCAGACGGGUGAGUAACACGUAGGUAACCUGCCCUCGAGACGGGGAUAACGGCUGGAAACGGUCGCUAAGACCCGAUAUAGUCUGACCUUCGGGAGAAGGUGAGAGGAAAGGCUUCGGUGCUCGGGGAGGGGCCUGCGGCCCAUCAGGCUAGUUGCGAGAGGUAACGGCUCCCCAAGGCAAUGACGGAGUACAGGGGUGUGAGAGCAUGGCCCCCCAAACUGGGACUGAGACACGGACCAGACUCCUACGGGAGGCAGCAGCAGGGAAUAUUGCGCAAUGGACGGAAGUCUGACGCAGCGAACGCCGCGUGGAUGACGAAGGCCUUCGGGUUGUCAAAUCCUUAUCCGGGCGAUGAGGAAGGACACUAGCCUGGGAAUAAGCGUCGGCUAACUACGUGCCAGCAGCCGAGGUAAGACGUAAGACGCGAGCGUAAUCCGGAUUUACUGGGCGUAAAGCGCCUGCAAGAGGUCAGGUAAGUCGGCUGUGAGAACCCCGUGCUCAAGAGCCGGGGAGGCCAAGCGAUACUGCGUGACUUGAGGCCGGAAGAGGGGAGUGGAAUUCCCGGUGUAGCGGUAAAAUGCGCAGAUAUCGGGAGGAACACCAGUGGCGAAGGCGGCUCCCUGGACCGCACCUGACGCUCAGAGGCGAAAGCUAGGGGAGCGAACAGGAUUAGAGACCCUGGUAGUCCUAGCCCUAAACGCCGGAUGCUAGGUGUAGGGCUGAUGAGGCUCUGUGCCGGAGCGAACGCGAUAAGCAUCCCGCCUGGGAACUACGGCCGCAAGGCUAAAACUCAAACGAAUUGACGGGGACCCGCACAAGCAGCGGAGCGUGUGGUUUAAUUCGAUGCUACACGAAGAACCUUACCUGGGUUUGACAUGCUGGUGGUACCGAACCGAAAGGGGAGGGACCCUUCGGGGAGCCAACACAGGUGCUGCAUGGCUGUCGUCAGCUCGUGCCGUGAGGUGUCGGGUUAAGUCCCGUAACGAGCGCAACCCUUGCUCUUAGUUAUACGUGUCUAAGGGGACUGCCGGCGACAAGCCGGAGGAAGGUGGGGAUGACGUCAAGUCAGCAUGGCCUUGAUAUCCAGGGCUACACACACGCUACAAUGGCCGGUACAAAGGGCAGCCAAGCCGCGAGGUGGAGCGAAUCCCAGCAAAGCCGGUCCCAGUUCGGAUUGCAGGCUGCAACCCGCCUGCAUGAAGUUGGAGUUGCUAGUAACCGCGCGUCAGCCAUAGUGCGGUGAAUACGUACCCGGGUCUUGUACACACCGCCCGUCACGUCAUGGGAGUUGGCAACGCCUGACAGCGGUAGCCUAACCGAAAGGAAGGCGCCGACUAAGGCGGGGCUAGCGACUGGGACGAAGUC